Molecule: ribosomal RNA, 914 nt
Filed under: uncultured crenarchaeote
Lineage: Archaea; Thermoproteati; Thermoproteota
Description: bacterial SSU rRNA
Rfam family: Archaeal small subunit ribosomal RNA
Source: RNAcentral
UUCCGGUUGAUCCUGCCGGACCUGACUGCUAUCGGAUUGAUACUAAGCCAUGCGAGUCNUUGCAGUAAUGCAAGGCGGACGGCUCAGUAACACGUAGUCAAUCUAACCUGUGGAAGGGGAUAAUCUCGGGAAACUGAGCAUAAUACCCUAUAGGUCAUUAUAUCUGGAAUGAUUUAUGACUAAAAUGAUUUAUCGCCGCAGGAUGGGACUGCGGCCUAUCAGCUUGUUGGUGAGUUAAUGGCCCACCAAGGCUAUAACAGGUACGGGCUCUGAGAGGAGAAGCCUGGAGAUAGGUACUGAGACACGGACCCAGGCCCUAUGGGGCGCAGCAGGCGAGAAAACUUUGCAAUGUGCGAAAGCACGACAAGGUUAAUCCGAGUGGCUUCUGUUGAAGAAGCCUUUUGACUGUCCUAAAAGCACAGUUGAAUAAGGGGUGGGCAAGUUCUGGUGUCAGCCGCCGCGGUAAAACCAGCACCUCAAGUGGUCAGGAUGAUUAUUGGGCCUAAAGCAUCCGUAGCCGGAUCCAUAAGUUUUCGGUUAAAUCUAUGCGCUUAACGUAUAGGCUGCCGAAAAUACUGUGGAUCUAGGGAGUGGGAGAGGUAGACGGUACUCGGUAGGAAGAGGUAAAAUUCACUAAUCGAUCGAUGACCACCUGUGGCGAAGGCGGUCUACCAGAACACGUCCGACGGUGAGGGAUGAAAGCUGGGGGAGCAAACCGGAUUAGAUACCCGGGUAGUCCCAGCCGUAAACUAUGCAAACUCAGUGAUGCAUCGAGUUGAACUCGAUGCAGUGUUGCAGGGAAGCCGUUAAGUUUGCCGCCUGGGAAGUACGUACGCAAGUAUGAAACUUAAAGGAAUUGGCGGGGGAGCACCACAAGGGGUGAAGCCUGCGGUUCAAUUGGAUUCAACGCCGGG